This 202-nucleotide long non-coding RNA is filed under the name Elaeis guineensis (African oil palm). Its description in RNAcentral is "long non-coding RNA (EGUI_LNC047646)". The record is from RNAcentral. Lineage: Eukaryota; Viridiplantae; Streptophyta; Magnoliopsida; Arecales; Arecaceae.
AUGUAUUAUUUUAUAGGAUACCUCAAAAAAUCUAAGGGAUAUUACUUCUUCUUGCUAAAGAACAAGAGUUCUUCAGCAUUUCUUUUAGAAAAGGAAUACCAUGGUGAAGGAACUGAUGCCUUUAAUGUGAAACUUAUGAAGUUUGAUAGGUAGAAGAACCGACACAAUCUGAUGAACCCAUAGAAUCAAAUUUGAUUAGAUC